GUUUGAUCCUGGCUCAGAUUGAACGCUGGCGGCAGGCCUAACACAUGCAAGUCGAGCGGUAGCACAGAGAGCUUGCUCUCGGGUGACGAGCGGCGGACGGGUGAGUAAUGUCUGGGAAACUGCCUGAUGGAGGGGGAUAACUACUAAACGGUAGCUAAUACCGCAUAACGUCGCAAGACCAAAGUGGGGGACCUUCGGGCCUCAUGCCAUCAGAUGUGCCCAGAUGGGAUUAGCUAGUAGGUGGGGUAACGGCUCACCUAGGCGACGAUCCCUAGCUGGUCUGAGAGGAUGACCAGCCACACUGGAACUGAGACACGGUCCAGACUCCUACGGGAGGCAGCAGUGGGGAAUAUUGCACAAUGGGCGCAAGCCUGAUGCAGCCAUGCCGCGUGUGUGAAGAAGGCCUUCGGGUUGUAAAGCACUUUCAGCGGGGAGGAAGGCGAUAAGGUUAAUAACCUUGUCGAUUGACGUUACCCGCAGAAGAAGCACCGGCUAACUCCGUGCCAGCAGCCGCGGUAAUACGGAGGGUGCAAGCGUUAAUCGGAAUUACUGGGCGUAAAGCGCACGCAGGCGGUCUGUCAAGUCGGAUGUGAAAUCCCCGGGCUCAACCUGGGAACUGCAUUCGAAACUGGCAGGCUAGAGUCUUGUAGAGGGGGGUAGAAUUCCAGGUGUAGCGGUGAAAUGCGUAGAGAUCUGGAGGAAUACCGGUGGCGAAGGCGGCCCCCUGGACAAAGACUGACGCUCAGGUGCGAAAGCGUGGGGAGCAAACAGGAUUAGAUACCCUGGUAGUCCACGCCGUAAACGAUGUCGAUUUGGAGGUUGUGCCCUUGAGGCGUGGCUUCCGGAGCUAACGCGUUAAAUCGACCGCCUGGGGAGUACGGCCGCAAGGUUAAAACUCAAAUGAAUUGACGGGGGCCCGCACAAGCGGUGGAGCAUGUGGUUUAAUUCGAUGCAACGCGAAGAACCUUACCUGGUCUUGACAUCCACAGAACUUUCCAGAGAUGGAUUGGUGCCUUCGGGAACUGUGAGACAGGUGCUGCAUGGCUGUCGUCAGCUCGUGUUGUGAAAUGUUGGGUUAAGUCCCGCAACGAGCGCAACCCUUAUCCUUUGUUGCCAGCGGUUAGGCCGGGAACUCAAAGGAGACUGCCAGUGAUAAACUGGAGGAAGGUGGGGAUGACGUCAAGUCAUCAUGGCCCUUACGACCAGGGCUACACACGUGCUACAAUGGCAUAUACAAAGAGAAGCGACCUCGCGAGAGCAAGCGGACCUCAUAAAGUAUGUCGUAGUCCGGAUUGGAGUCUGCAAC
Molecule: ribosomal RNA, 1306 nt
Filed under: Klebsiella pneumoniae subsp. pneumoniae
Lineage: Bacteria; Pseudomonadati; Pseudomonadota; Gammaproteobacteria; Enterobacterales; Enterobacteriaceae
Description: bacterial SSU rRNA
Rfam family: Bacterial small subunit ribosomal RNA
Source: RNAcentral